UGUGAGACUGUUAAAGCAGCAGUUGUGCAAGCUUAUGAGUUAGUCCCUGAAGCUUACAUACAGAAGUUUCGGCAACACAGGGAAAGUUGCUGGGCAAACUAAUGUGAAAUUUGCCAGAAAGAAUGGGAUCUUAUUCGAAGGUGACCACUGUAGCGCCCACUAGGAGUGAUACAGCCGGACGCAGGGAGUUCCAAACAGGAUCUGCCACCUUGUGCUAAUCACAGGAACAGGAAGUACAGCAUCACACAAAACCACCAAGAAAAACUGCGCUCUUCAAAAUAAACCAGAACAGUCCCCAGGGUGUCACUGUAGGACAAACCAACAAGCAGGAGGACGUGAACCAUUUUGAAGCCAUUUACUACUCUUAUGUCAGCUGCUCUUCCUGCUGAUGAAUAUGUGCCUACCCAUAAGCCAACUUUUAAUGUUAAUGACAAGUACUGUGUUAACAAUGUGCCGCAAUCUCCACCAGGUAAAACCGUUGUGUUGAAGGAGGGCCGGGAAUGUUUAAAACAAAAAAUGCAGUCAAAUUCCUAGUGUAGUAACUCACCAGACAUUGGUUCCACAAGAACAGGGUUUAAUUGGCACCCAAUAAGUCUUCACAGUAGUUACAUUCUAGCUGUAGACUUUUUCCUUCUGAGCAGUAACUCUUCUUCUAACACAUUACAGUAUUACAUCAUUUCUAAGCUGUACCCACAGAGCCUUCUGGUGGACAACCUGUACAGGUCCUUCUCAA
Molecule: long non-coding RNA, 733 nt
Organism: Girardinichthys multiradiatus
Lineage: Eukaryota; Metazoa; Chordata; Actinopteri; Cyprinodontiformes; Goodeidae
Exons: 3
Source: RefSeq, a predicted model, not a curated record